This 532-nucleotide ribosomal RNA is filed under the name Hesperomyces virescens. RNAcentral describes it as "SSU rRNA". It matches the Rfam family "Eukaryotic small subunit ribosomal RNA", at positions 333 to 869 of the family's 1831-position model. Lineage: Eukaryota; Fungi; Ascomycota; Laboulbeniomycetes; Laboulbeniales; Laboulbeniaceae. The record is from RNAcentral.
GUAGUGUCCUCGCAUGCUUUUGACGGGUAACGGGGAAUUAGGGUUCGACUCCGGAGAGGGAGCCUGAGAAACGGCUACCACAUCCAAGGAAGGCAGCAGGCGCGCAAAUUACCCAAUCCCGAUACGGGGAGGUAGUGACAAGAAAUACCGAUUCAGGAUCUUAUUGGAUCUUGAGAUUGGAAUGAGUACAAUUCAAACCCAUUAACGAGGAACAACUAGAGGGCAAGUCUGGUGCCAGCAGCCGCGGUAAUUCCAGCUCUAGUAGCGUAUAUUAAAAUUGUUGCAGUUAAAACGCUCGUAGUUGAACUUUGGGCUUGGCUGGCUGGUCCGCCUCACCGCGAGCACUGGUCCGGCUGGGCCUUUCCUCUUGGGGAUCCACAUGCCCUUCACUUGGGUGUGUUGGGGAACCAGGACUUUUACUUUGAAAAAAUUAGGGUGUUCAAAGCAGGCAUUUGCUCGAAUACAUUAGCAUGGGAUAAUAGAAUAGGACGUGUGGUCUUAUUUUGUUGGUUUCUAGGACCGCCGUAAUGAU